This 1306-nucleotide ribosomal RNA is filed under the name Clostridium perfringens. Its description in RNAcentral is "partial 23S ribosomal RNA". It matches the Rfam family "Bacterial large subunit ribosomal RNA", at positions 1609 to 2925 of the family's 2925-position model. Lineage: Bacteria; Bacillati; Bacillota; Clostridia; Eubacteriales; Clostridiaceae. The record is from RNAcentral.
CAAGAAAAGCGUCUAGAGAGAGAAGUAGUGCCCGUACCGCAAACCGACACAGGUAGGUGAGGAGAGAAUCCUAAGGCCGGCGGAAGAAUUACAGUUAAGGAACUCGGCAAAUUGACCCCGUAAGUUCGCGAGAAGGGGUGCCUACGAGAGUAGGCCGCAGAGAAUAGGCCCAAGCAACUGUUUAGCAAAAACACAGGUCUCUGCUAAAGCGUAAGCUGAUGUAUAGGGGCUGACGCCUGCCCGGUGCUGGAAGGUUAAGGGGAACACUUAGCGCAAGCGAAGGUGUGAACUUAAGCCCCAGUAAACGGCGGCCGUAACUAUAACGGUCCUAAGGUAGCGAAAUUCCUUGUCAGGUAAGUUCUGACCCGCACGAAUGGCGUAAUGACUUGGGCACUGUCUCAACUGUAAAUCCGGCGAAGUUGUAGUGCGAGUGAAGAUGCUCGCUACCCGCGAUUGGACGGAAAGACCCCGUAGAGCUUUACUGUAGCUUAGCAUUGAGUUUUGGUAUUGUCUGUACAGGAUAGGUGGGAGACUAGGAAACCAGGGCGUCAGCCUUGGUGGAGUCAACCUUGGGAUACCACCCUGACAGUACUGAAAUUCUAACUGGCGGCCAUGAAUCUGGUCACAGGACAUUGUUAGGUGGGCAGUUUGACUGGGGCGGUCGCCUCCUAAAAAGUAACGGAGGCGCCCAAAGGUUCCCUCAGAACGGUCGGAAAUCGUUCGAAGAGUGCAAAGGCAGAAGGGAGCCUGACUGCGACACCCACAAGUGGAGCAGGGACGAAAGUCGGGCUUAGUGAUCCGGUGGUACCUCGUGGGAGGGCCAUCGCUCAACGGAUAAAAGCUACCUCGGGGAUAACAGGCUGAUCUCCCCCAAGAGUCCACAUCGACGGGGAGGUUUGGCACCUCGAUGUCGGCUCGUCGCAUCCUGGGGCUGAAGUAGGUCCCAAGGGUUGGGCUGUUCGCCCAUUAAAGCGGCACGCGAGCUGGGUUCAGAACGUCGUGAGACAGUUCGGUCCCUAUCCGUCGCGGGCGUAGGAAAUUUGAGAGGAGCUGUCCUUAGUACGAGAGGACCGGGAUGGACUGACCUCUGGUGUACCAGUUGUUCCGCCAGGAGCACAGCUGGGUAGCUAAGUCGGGAAUGGAUAAACGCUGAAAGCAUCUAAGCGUGAAGCCAACCUCAAGAUGAGAUUUCCCAUAGCGUAAGCUAGUAAGAUCCCUUGAAGAACACAAGGUUGAUAGGUCGGGGGUGUAAGCAUGGUAACAUGUUCAGCUGACCGAUACUAAUAGAUCGAGGGCUUGACCAAAU